UUUUAACUGAUAGUGCCUAUCAUAAUUAUAUUUAAUAGUUUUGUUGUAAUAUAGGCUAUAUUAAAUUUACCUGACAAAGGUUAGAUGACCAAAAGUUACUUAUAGAUUUUAUUUAUUUAUUUAUUUAUUUUCAUGAAUGCAAAAUCCAGAAUAACUGUACUUUAAUUUUAAUACUAUUUUUUUUUAAUGAUGUAUAUCAAACUAAAAGGUCAAGGAUUGAAAGCUUGAUUUGAUUUUAUUUAUUUUUGUUUAUUUAUUUUUUUAUUUAUAUUUUAUUUUAUAGUGCUUAUUUUAUAGUGUUUAUAUUAAACAAAGGGGUCAAGGAUUUUAUUUUUUAUUAUUUUUUAUUUUAUUCGAAGCUUGAAAUUAGCUCAAUUUAACAUUUAUCCCUACCUUUCAGCACCCAUGAGCAAAGAUGGUGGAUUUCAAGUGCUGUACUUCCAGAGGUCUUACGCCAACCAAACAACUGCAGUUAAAAGGAAUGCUAAUGGAUAGAUUUUUCAGAUACCCUUUCUUCAUUGACAGAGCUGUCAUUGUGAGUUCAGAGCGAAAUGUUCCAUAUCUGGCCUUUUUUUUCUUGUUCCUCAGAGGUUCUUUCAUCUCUACAGGGUUACACAAGCAUACAGUAUUCAAUGAGUCUAUGAUGGUGAAAUAAACAAGCAUUUUAUAGAGCUUUACAUUACAUUACAUUUACAUUUAAUCAUUUAGCAGACGCUUUUAUCCAAAGCGACUUACAAAUGAGAACAGUAGAAACAAUCAGAUCAACGAGAGAACAACAACGGUAUACAAGUGCUAUGACAAGUCUCAGUUAGUCUAGUACAGAACACGUAGCCAGGGUUUUUGAAUAUGAUAGACAAGAAAAAGAAAAGGUAAGUACUAGUAUUAGUUGGUUAAGUGCAGGCAAAAAAGAUGAGUCUUUAGAUGUUUUUUAAAAAUGAGUAAAGACUCAGCUGUUCGAAUUGAGAUCAGGAGGUCAUUCCACCAGCUGGGCGCAGUCCAGGAAAAAGUCCGUGAGAGUGAUUUUGAACCUCUUUGGGAUGGCACCACAAGACGUCGUUCACUUGCAGAGCGCAAACUUCUGGAGGGCGCAUAAGACUGAACUAGUGAGUUUAGGUAUGUUGGCGCCGUGCCAGUGGUCGUCUUGUAGGCAAGCAUCAGUACCUUGAAUUUGAUGCGAGCGGCUACUGGUAGCCAGUGUAACCUGAUGAGGAGAGGAGUCACAUGAGCUGUUUUUGGCUCAUUGAAGACAACCCUCGCUGCUGCAUUCUGGAUCAGUUGUAGAGGCUUGAUAGUACAUGCAGGAAGGCCCGCCAGAAGAGCAUUACAAUAGUCCAGUCUGGAGAGAACAAGAGCUUGGACAAGAAGUUGGGUGGCUUGCUCUGACAGGAAGGGUCUAAUCUUCCUAAUGUUGUAUAAGGCAAAUCUGCAGGACCGGGUCGUUGUAGCAAUAUGGUCUGUGAAGCUUAACUGAUGAUCCAUCACAACUCCUAGGUUUCUGGCUGUCCUGGAGGGAGUUAUGGUUGACGAACCCAGCUGUAUAGAGAAGUUGUGAUGAAACGAUGGGUUAGCUGGAACCACCAGCAGUUCAGUCUUAGUAAGGUUGAGCUGAAGGUGAUGGUCAUUCAUCCAGCUAGAAAUGUCACUCAGACAGGCUGAAAUGCGAGCAACUACCGUCGGGUCAUCUGGUUGGAAUGAGAAGUAGAGUUGAGUGUCAUCAGCAUAGCAGUGAUAGGAAAAGCCAUGCUUCUGAAUGACAGAUCCUAAUGACGUCAUGUAGAUGGAGAAGAGAAGCGGUCCAAGUACUGAGCCUUGAGGAACCCCAGUAGCAAGUUGUUGUGACUUAGAAACUUCACCCCUCCAAGACACCAUGAAGGAUCUAUCAGAAAGGUAGGAGUUAAGCCACUGGAGAGCGGUUCCAGAGAUGCCCAUCUUUCUGAGGGUGGACAGGAGAAUCUGGUGAUUAACAGUGUCAAAAG
This is a long non-coding RNA of Cyprinus carpio carpio, 1976 nucleotides long. The record is from Ensembl. Lineage: Eukaryota; Metazoa; Chordata; Actinopteri; Cypriniformes; Cyprinidae.